This 300-nucleotide ribosomal RNA is filed under the name uncultured Colwelliaceae bacterium. RNAcentral describes it as "bacterial SSU rRNA". It matches the Rfam family "Bacterial small subunit ribosomal RNA", at positions 114 to 417 of the family's 1533-position model. Lineage: Bacteria; Pseudomonadati; Pseudomonadota; Gammaproteobacteria; Alteromonadales; Colwelliaceae. The record is from RNAcentral.
UGCUUGGGAAUAUGCCUUUGAGUGGGGGACAACAGUUGGAAACGACUGCUAAUACCGCAUAACGUCUACGGACCAAAGAGGGGGAUCUUCGGACCUCUCGCUCAUUGAUUAGCCCAAGUGAGAUUAGCUAGUUGGUAAGGUAAUGGCUUACCAAGGCGACGAUCUCUAGCUGGUUUGAGAGGAUGAUCAGCCACACUGGGACUGAGACACGGCCCAGACUCCUACGGGAGGCAGCAGUGAGGAAUAUUGGGCAAUGGAGGCAACUCUGACCCAGCCAUGCCGCGUGCAGGAAGACGGUCC